Non-coding RNA from Phalacrocorax carbo (great cormorant), 611 nucleotides. Lineage: Eukaryota; Metazoa; Chordata; Aves; Suliformes; Phalacrocoracidae. The record is from RefSeq and is a predicted model, not a curated record.
CCCGCUGCCUCCAUCUCUCCCCUUCAUCCCUCCCUACCUCCCUCCCCCUCAUCCCUCCCUUCCUCCCUCCCCUCCGCUCGCCCCUCCCCGGCCGGCGCCUGUCCCCUCCCUCCGCUCCGCAGCCGGGGCGGGGGGCUGCGAGCCGGGCCCGGCGCAGGGGGCGGCAGAGGCGGGGAGGCGGGCGGUGGGGCGGGAGCCGUGCCGGGUCUCCUCCGGGUGGCGUGCGGGAGAGCGGGGGCCGGGAGGGGGCGCGGAGGAAGCACCGGCAGCACCGGCAGCAGCGGCGCGGGAGAAGGGAGGGCGUCCCCGGCCGCCGCCGCUCCCCGCCGCGCCGAGGAGGGCGGGCGGACCACGAUGCCCGGGUGGCGGGCGCUGCCCGCCCGCCCGCAUGGAGACCGCCGCCCGUAGCGGGGCCGCCGCGCCGCACCGCGGGUGAACACUAAAACGUAUUGGAGAUUGUUCUAAACUGAACCAAACAGAGCGUCAGCCUUCGGUAAAAGUGCUAAGAGAUCCAGGACAAGCAAAUGAAGCCAACAAUGGCAUCUGCUGCUAGACUCACAAUGCGACUCUCGCAACCAGGAACAAAAUCCUUUCUUUUACAAUGUGUCGAG